Molecule: long non-coding RNA, 451 nt
Organism: Myodes glareolus (Bank vole)
Lineage: Eukaryota; Metazoa; Chordata; Mammalia; Rodentia; Cricetidae
Source: RefSeq, a predicted model, not a curated record
CGCGUCCAUCCCCAGCGCCUCGCGGAGGACACGGCUCGAUGCCGGGGUUGCUGAGCCCCGGCCCCCGCUCAGCUCCCUCCAUCCCAGGCUGGUUCUGUCUCCUCGGGGCUCAGGGUAUUUCCAUUUCCCUUCCUGACGCGGAAGGAGGUUUCGGAAUAUCCUUUUCUCAUCGUUCCCGCUCUACCAAUCUCCUUGCUGUCUUAGCAAUGUGUGCAUCCCGAGAACAACCACCCAAGGCCCCAAGCAACAGGAGAGUCUGGAAAUUCCGGGUAUAGACAGGACCCUUGGAGCAUGCUGUGUGGGCACCAGCAGCAUUCUGAAGCCGGGCAGUUAUCACAGCUACCUUCCCUACAGCUGCAACUUUUAAACAUCUGACCCAACCGAAAGGAGCAGUUCUAGAGAGUUCCUGCAAGGGCACAAGCAAAUCUCAUUAAAUCAUAUUUUGACCGUA